Molecule: ribosomal RNA, 250 nt
Filed under: uncultured bacterium
Lineage: Bacteria
Description: partial 16S ribosomal RNA
Rfam family: Bacterial small subunit ribosomal RNA
Source: RNAcentral
GAUCAUGGCUCAGGACGAACGCUGGCGGCGCGCCUAACACAUGCAAGUCGAACGGAGCUACCUUUUCGGAAGUUUUCGGAUGGAAGAGGAAGUAGCUUAGUGGCGAACGGGUGAGUAACACGUGAGGAACCUGCCUUAAAGAGGGGGACAACAGUUGGAAACGACUGCUAAUACCGCAUAAGCCCACAGUGCCGCAUGGCACAGGGGGAAAAGGAGAAAUCCGCUUUAAGAUGGACUCGCGUCCAAUUAG